CCUACGGGUGGCUGCAGUGGGGAAUAUUGGACAAUGGGCGAAAGCCUGAUCCAGCCAUGCCGCGUGCGUGAAGAAGGCCUUCGGGUUGUAAAGCACUUUCAGUGGGGAAGAAAGCCUUGGGGCUAAUACCCUCGAGGAAGGACAUCACCCACAGAAGAAGCACCGGCUAACUCCGUGCCAGCAGCCGCGGUAAUACGGAGGGUGCGAGCGUUAAUCGGAAUUACUGGGCGUAAAGCGCGCGUAGGCGGUCUGAUAAGCCGGUUGUGAAAGCCCCGGGCUCAACCUGGGAACGGCAUCCGGAACUGUCAGGCUAGAGUGCAGGAGAGGAAGGUAGAAUUCCCGGUGUAGCGGUGAAAUGCGUAGAGAUCGGGAGGAAUACCAGUGGCGAAGGCGGCCUUCUGGACUGACACUGACGCUGAGGUGCGAAAGCGUGGGUAGCAAACAGGAUUAGAUACCCCAGUAGUC
RNAcentral lists this ribosomal RNA (465 nucleotides) under Vreelandella stevensii. Its description in RNAcentral is "partial 16S ribosomal RNA". It matches the Rfam family "Bacterial small subunit ribosomal RNA", at positions 338 to 795 of the family's 1533-position model. The record is from RNAcentral. Lineage: Bacteria; Pseudomonadati; Pseudomonadota; Gammaproteobacteria; Oceanospirillales; Halomonadaceae.